UAAAAAUGUUAAAAUGUAAACUAAAGUAGUAUUAGUUAUGAUCUUGAAAUUUAAAGAUUUUGGCGGUAUUUUAGUCUAUUCAGAGGAACCUGUUCUAUAAUUGAUAGUCCACGAUUACCUUUACUUAAUUUUAAAAGCUUGUAUAUCGUUGUUAAAGAAAAUUUUAUAAGAAAGAUAAUUUUUAAUAAAUUUAAUUAAAUUUUAAGUCAAAUCAAGGUGCAGUUUAUAGUUAAGAAGAAAUGGGUUACAAUAAAAUUAUUUAAAAAUGAAUAUGUGUAUUAAAUUAUGUUUUGAAAGUGGAUUUGAUAGUAAUAUAAUUUAUUUUAAUUAUAUGAUUAUAGCUCUAAAAUAUGU
This 354-nucleotide ribosomal RNA is filed under the name Enhydrus atratus. Its description in RNAcentral is "partial 12S ribosomal RNA". The record is from RNAcentral. Lineage: Eukaryota; Metazoa; Arthropoda; Insecta; Coleoptera; Gyrinidae.